GUCGAAAGAUUGGCUAAUACCGCAUACGUCCGAAAGGGGAAAGCAGGGGAUCGUAAGACCUUGCGCUAUUGGAUGAGCCAAAGUCGGAUUAGCUAGUUGGUGAGGUAAUGGCUCACCAAGGCGACAAUCCGUAGCUGGUCUGAGAGGACGACCAGCCACACCGGAACUGAGACACGGUCCGGACUCCUACGGGAGGCAGCAGUGGGGAAUAUUGGACAAUGGGGGAAACCCUGAUCCAGCGACGCCGCGUGUGUGAAGAAGGCCUGCGGGUUGUAAAGCACUUUUAGUGGGGACAAAAAGCCAAAGGCUAAUACCUUUUGGUCUUGAUUUAACUCACAGAAAAAGCACCGGCUAACUCUGUGCCAGCAGCCGCGGUAAUACAGAGGGUGCGAGCGUUAAUCGGAAUUACUGGGCGUAAAGCGCGCGUAGACGGUUUUGUAAGUCAGAUGUGAAAUCCCCGGGCUCAACCUGGGAACUGCAUUUGAUACUGCAUGGCUAGAGUACGGUAGAGGGAAGCGGAAUUUCCGGUGUAGCGGUGAAAUGCGUAGAUAUCGGAAGGAACACCAGUGGCGAAAGCGGCUUCCUGGACCAGUACUGACGUUCAUGUGCGAAAGCGUGGGGAGCAAACAGGAUUAGAUACCCUGGUAGUCCACGCCAUAAACGAUGACAACUAGAUGUUGGGAGGGUCUGCCUCUCGGUGUCGCAGCUAACGCGUU
This 716-nucleotide ribosomal RNA is filed under the name uncultured Gammaproteobacteria bacterium. Its description in RNAcentral is "bacterial SSU rRNA". It matches the Rfam family "Bacterial small subunit ribosomal RNA", at positions 150 to 861 of the family's 1533-position model. The record is from RNAcentral. Lineage: Bacteria; Pseudomonadati; Pseudomonadota; Gammaproteobacteria.